UUGGCUAAUUAUCUUUCUCAGAGAUUCGUACGAGAUGAAAAGAAACUAAAAAAAAUAAAUAAACUAUAUUACCUCUUAAUAAAUGCUAAGUUUAAUAUAUUCAGCCAAACUUUUAUUAACACUACUUCUAAGAAAUUAAAUUUUCUUCCAACAAGUGCUAAGUUUAAAAUCUUCAGUCAGACUUCAUAAUUCUAUCUAUCCUGU
RNAcentral lists this long non-coding RNA (204 nucleotides) under Elaeis guineensis (African oil palm). RNAcentral describes it as "long non-coding RNA (EGUI_LNC046486)". The record is from RNAcentral. Lineage: Eukaryota; Viridiplantae; Streptophyta; Magnoliopsida; Arecales; Arecaceae.